This 163-nucleotide ribosomal RNA is filed under the name uncultured bacterium. Its description in RNAcentral is "partial 16S ribosomal RNA". The record is from RNAcentral.
GAGCAGUGGGGAAUUUUAUCGAAUGGGCGAAAACCUGAUCUACGAAAGCCGCGUCAAGGAAGCGGGGUUUAUUCCCGUACAAAAGCGUUUACAACCCGUAAGCCGCCCUGCGUGAGCGUGGCUGCUUGCGCCUAUUGCCAAUAUACCCACUGCUGCCUCCGUG